RNAcentral lists this small RNA (235 nucleotides) under Arabidopsis thaliana (thale cress). RNAcentral describes it as "ATSL055420". Lineage: Eukaryota; Viridiplantae; Streptophyta; Magnoliopsida; Brassicales; Brassicaceae. The record is from RNAcentral.
UUAAGUAUAUUAAUAUUAAUUCAAUAAACCAUAAAAGCACACCAAACUAGGAUACACUUUUUUGGUCAAAAUCCAACUAGUAUAUUAGAUAUUGAAAAUAAACCGCAAAAAAAAACACUCGAUGUAGUAGUGCCGCCGUAUAUUAGAGGAUUGACUUAACAAUAAACAUAUUAACAUUUCGUUUUAAACAUAUUAAUAUCUAAGAUUGGCAAAUUGUUAAUAAUAAAUAAAUUGA